ACCUCCACCACGGCUGCUACUACCACAACUACUACCUCCACUGCUGCUACUACCACAACUACUACCUCCACUGCUGCUACUACCACAACUACUACCUCCACUGCUGCCUGGAGGACAUUAGAUAAUCAUGUGUCCACCUACAUCCAGUCAUAGAUUGAUUGGGAUGGAUUUUUAUGAUUGGCCGGCCACCAGAGAACUUCAGGACAAAGGGAUCUUCAUGGAACUUCAGGAAUAAUGUCUAUAUAACCAGUUCUACUCUCAAUAAACGUAUAAAGGCA
Cherax quadricarinatus is the source of this 278-nucleotide non-coding RNA. The record is from RefSeq and is a predicted model, not a curated record. NCBI's taxonomy places the organism in Eukaryota, Metazoa, Arthropoda, Malacostraca, Decapoda, Parastacidae.